This is a long non-coding RNA of Triticum aestivum (bread wheat), 2382 nucleotides long. RefSeq lists it as uncharacterized. NCBI's taxonomy places the organism in Eukaryota, Viridiplantae, Streptophyta, Magnoliopsida, Poales, Poaceae. The transcript is spliced from 3 exons. The record is from RefSeq and is a predicted model, not a curated record.
CCCGCCUCUCUCCAUCCCCUCAUCAAUAACAUCCACCCCGCAUCCCCAACCCCUCCCGCUUCUACCCUCCAUCUCCCUCAGAUUCCUCGCCUUGGCCAUCCACUUCCUCGCCCUGGGUUCCUUGCAAGGUCGGCGUGUCUUCUUCACCUACCGAUGCCAUCUAGGACUACCUUGGAUUCUGAUUGAGUGAUCGGCCAACAACGAGCAAGUCCCAUGGCGUUGUAGUCUUAGAUCAUGGCGGCCAUGUCCCCGCAUCAUGAAAUGAUUCUCCUCGCCAAAGGUUAUGCUCCAUGAUCUCAUCCUGUCCAACGCAUGUAGAUUGAUGUUGUUGAUUAAUUCUGGGAUUAGGAGUUAUCAAUAGGGAAAGCAUGUAUGUAAGUAUGUUACAUUAUUAUAUUCAGAUUCAGACUGCAGCUUUUGAUGUUGUACGCCACAAGCAGCAGUAUCUAGCACUGACCCUCCCUGUGCUUGGGAGAUGUUUAGGAUCGCAAGACAAUCUACCUGGAAGGUUGUCGCACCAACAGGGAUCAAAGUAGGAUAAUCGAUAAGACAACCUCUGCUCGACCGAUCUCACCUGUCCGGCCCAACAGGCAAACUCUACCUUAAUAUACAGCUAUAUAUAACAGUGACACGUGCGAUGGUGGCCGUCGCAGGUUUACUGGCGGCCUGACGGGCGAUCGGCGAGAGUAACGCUAUUCUUUCAUGUUUUCGAUCUCACCCUUUUGAUGCAGGAGACUUUGGCAUCAGUCCAUAGGAUCGAUAUAAGCAUUCAGUUCUUUCUUAGUUUUUUGAGAAAAAGCUAGCUGUUCGAUCAUUUGAUCAGAGAAAAAUAUCAGAUGAAAAGAAAAGGAAAAAGGAUCGGAUGAAAAAAAACUAGCGCGGAUAUUAAUUAUUUUCCUACAUUUAAAAUUGAUUGUAUUUAUUAAAUCAGUUGAAGUCUUGCCGAAGCUACUAUUGUUUUGCAAUCCCCAUUUACAAUGAUGGUUCGUGUAUUGUUCAUAUUCUUUGUGCUACAAAAGCAUAGUUGGUUUUUCUCUUCUUAAUUUUACGUUGUUUUCGUGUAUCUUUAUGAUCUACCUGAGCACGCAAGGUUAACUAUUAUUAACCCUUCCAGAUCUAUCAUAUUGCGAUACUGCCUUGCUAAAUAAAAAUUGAAUAUUCGACCCUCCAUUAUUUGUAUGAGAAUAUUUUAUUUUGUAAUCAAUAGUUAAAUCAAUUGUAAACACACGAACAGUGUAUUUAAGGGUCAGUUGCAUUUGAUGUGCUUUAGCAUAUUCCGGUAUGAAGUUUCUGUUAUAGCUCGGCUGCUUUUGUUUCAUGUAAUUGGUUCUUUCUGAAUAUUCAAAAAAAAAACCUUUUAGAUGCCUGUCUAAUGUGAACUCUAUCAAAAUGUAUGGAUAUCAUAUGUGUAUACUAACUUUCCUUCUAAUGCCUUUAGUUAUUCUCCAUGAAGUAACUAUUUGUUUAAAGGUCAGGUCAUGUUCUUUCAGCACUACUGGGAACUGCUAAAAAUUGUACAAUGAUGAAGACCACAAGUGUUACCAAAUAAUUAAACAAUGAAGCAGUAUUUCGAAGGACGUGCUUCUAGCAUGGCGGUAAGUCCUCUAUGUGUGACCUUGGUUCUCACAAAAAGGGUCACUCGUUGACUUUGCAGUUGCGCCACCACGGACAAUGGAGCUGGCAUUUCGGUCCUUUCGAACGAUCAUUUUUUUGUAAUAUUUUACAGUAAUAAAAAGAUUGUGCUUUCACACACCUAUUUUACGUUUGCGCCUUUGAUAAAAAAGUUGAGCUUAUGUUUUAUCAUUUCUGUCCAGUGUUGGUAUGUCUUCAAUGUGAAAUCAUUUCAUUUGCGAACCUUGAAGGUGUGUAUUGUUUACCGAAAUGUUAUAAAUAAAAUUGAUGAUGCUUACUUACAUUCCAUCCUUCCUUUGUUACACAUCAAUACAAGAAAGUUUGAUCUUUGGUUUCUUCCUUCUGGCCCCAUUUAAAAUUAUACUACCUUAUUUGUUCCCAUUGGGAAUUUGUUAGUUUUAUUUAAUAAUAUGUUGCAUUGAAGCAAACAAUAUGCUAAUUGGGCCUUCUUUUUGACAUGCAAUGUGAAUCAACACUUGGGAUAAAUUCCACUCAUCAAAUGAACUAAUUAUCCCGCAGCAACGCGUAGGGUAUCAUCUAGUUCAAAGAAAAAGUCAAACGAUGGCAUGAUAAAAGGAUACAAAAGUGUGAGUUUAAUGUAGGUGAUUAUGUGUUAUUAUUCAACUCUCGUUUAAGAUUUUUUGCAGGAAAACUUCUAUCUAAAUGGGAAGGUCCCUCCAUUAUCGAGGAGGUUUAUCAUUCUGGUGCCAUAAAAAUCAACAACUUCGAAGGCACAAGUCCGAGGGUGUU